This 1352-nucleotide ribosomal RNA is filed under the name metagenome. Its description in RNAcentral is "bacterial LSU rRNA". It matches the Rfam family "Bacterial large subunit ribosomal RNA", at positions 1564 to 2925 of the family's 2925-position model. The record is from RNAcentral.
UGAGUACGAGCUGCUACGGCAGCGAAGUGGGUGAUGUCAAGCUUCCAAGAAAAGCCCUAUACCCGUUAAGGCAUGAUGGCCUGUACCCGAAACCGACACAGGUGGGGUGGUAGAGAAUACCGAGGGGCGCGAGAUAACUCUCUCUAAGGAACUCGGCAAAAUGGCCCCAUAACUUCGGGAGAAGGGGUGCCACCGCAAGGUGGUCGCAGUGAAGAGGCCCAGGCGACUGUUUACCAAAAACACAGGUCUCCGCUAAGUCGCAAGACGAUGUAUGGGGGCUGACGCCUGCCCAGUGCCGGAAGGUUAAGGAAGCUGGUCAGCGUAAGCGAAGCUAGCGACUGAAGCCCCGGUGAACGGCGGCCGUAACGAUAACGGUCCUAAGGUAGCGAAAUUCCUUGUCGGGUAAGUUCCGACCCGCACGAAAGGCGUAACGAUCUGGGCGCUGUCUCGGAGAGAGGCUCGGCGAAAUAGAAUUGUCUGUGAAGAUGCGGACUACGUGCACCCGGACAGAAAGACCCUAUGAAGCUUUACUGUAGCUUGGUAUUGUGCUCGGGCUCGGAAUGCGCAGGAUAGGUGGGAGGCUAUGAACCAUUGCUUGUGGGUGAUGGUGAGCCACUGGUGAGAUACCACUCUUUCCGAGCUAGAGUUCUAACAGCCACCCGUUAUCCGGGGGCUGGACAGUAUCAGGUGGGCAGUUUGACUGGGGCGGUCGCCUCCUAAAAGGUAACGGAGGCGCGCAAAGGUUUGCUCAGGCUGGUUGGAAAUCAGCCGACGAGUGUAAAAGCAGAAGCAAGCUUGACUGUGAGACCUACAAGUCGAACAGGGAGGAAACUCGGCUUUAGUGAUCCGACGGUUCUGCGUGGAAGGGCCGUCGCUCAACGGAUAAAAGUUACUCUAAGGAUAACAGGCUGAUCUCCCCCAAGAGUUCACAUCGACGGGGAGGUUUGGCACCUCGAUGUCGGCUCAUCGCAACCUGGGGCUGAAGUCGGUCCCAAGGGUUGGGCUGUUCGCCCAUUAAAGCGGUACGCGAGCUGGGUUCAGAACGUCGUGAGACAGUUCGGUCCAUAUCCGGUGCAUGCGCAGGAAUAUUGAGAGGAUUUCUCCCUAGUACGAGAGGACCGGGAGGAACGCACCUCUGGUGUACCAGUUAUCGUGCCAACGGUAAACGCUGGGUAGCCAUGUGCGGAGAGGAUAACCGCUGAAAGCAUCUAAGUGGGAAGCCCACCUCAAGAUGAGUAUUCCCAUGGGGUAACCCAGUAAGGUCACGGGAAGAACACCCGUUGAUAGGCUCUACGUGGAAGCGCAGUAAUGUGUGAAGCGGAGGAGUACUAAUAGACCGAGGGCUUGACCGC